Long non-coding RNA from Homo sapiens (human), 1253 nucleotides. Ensembl annotates it as cytoplasmic endogenous regulator of oxidative phosphorylation 1. Its record names the gene CEROX1. NCBI's taxonomy places the organism in Eukaryota, Metazoa, Chordata, Mammalia, Primates, Hominidae. The record is from Ensembl.
CCCCGCCCGGCGCCGCACCACGUGGGCCAGGCGCCCCACGCCUGGAGCUCCCCUCUCUGGAGCCCCGGGAAAGGAAGCGGGGCAGGGAGGCCGGGUGGGAGCAGGGGGGUCUCCGGCGCUUCCUCUCCUCUGCGGGCGCCGCGCGGCUCCUGAGAGUCCGCCCCCCGUCCUGACGCUCAGCUAGGAAGCGGGUCCUCGGGCCCCUCCCCCGACACACACACACACACACACACACACACACACACACACACACACUCUCUCUCUCUCUCUCUCUCUCUCUCUCUCUCUCUCUCUCUCUCACACACACACACACACACACAGCCCGUCUCGCGCCUGAGGUCUCGCCCGCAGGCCGGUGGCGCGGGGUCAGCUGCUGCCUGCGGUCCAGGACAGGGUCGGUUCCGCCGCGCAGCGCCCAGGCCCAGCUCGUCCAGAGUCUGCGGACAGCGCACGUCCAGACAUCGCCCACUCGGGCUCACAGUGCCAUCCGGGUGAGGACCUCCGUGGAGAGCUCUCUUUGCCAAAGAAAAGCAGUUGCAUUAGGUCUGCGAGCAGGCAGGGUGGCCUCUUCCUGGCUCCCCAUCCACCAAGGAAGCUUCAAGUCCCUGGGACACAGGCACUUUCCCACACAGGAUGGAGCCGGGCCACCCUCACAGCUCCUGCCCUGCAGACGCUGGCCUUGUGGAGGGAGGCAGGCAGCAGGAGCAGUGCUUUCUGGGCCUCUGUAGCCAGAGCUGGCCCUGCUGCAGCUUACGUCUGCCUGCAGCCCAGACGUCCUCCUGGUCCUCCUGAUGCCCCCGACCUCCACGGAGGACGAGCAUUUCCAGCCCAGCCCUCCCCAUCUUCACCUCGCACUCCCCUGACACACUGGGAGCCUCCUGAUCCGUGAACCCGCGCUGGCGGGAGUAGCUACUGACCGCUGGGGACCCCUGCCCAGGCUGUUCGCAUGUGGAAAGGAUUCAGGGAGCAGGCGAUGCCCAAAGCGUGGAGACCAGCACUGCUCUCUCCCCAGUGACAGAGUUCAUGAGGCCCCUUGCCCGGAAUGUCCACAUUUGAAACCUCCCAACACCGAGCCCCAUUUCAAGUAUAACCAGGAGGGAAAAUGGUGCUUGAAAUAAGCAUGCCACAAAGGAAAACCUGCUUUCUCGAAAUGGGCCCUGGCCGCCCAGGCCCUGACCUCCCCGGCCAGGAUGGAACGUUCCAGAGACCCAUUAGUGCCAAAGGCAAAUGAAAACACACCCUGUGAAAAUGUC